CUGGUCUCAAAUUUAAACAUCGUAUGGUGUUACUUCAUUGAAUAAAUGUAAAGGAAUUUCAAAAUUUGCCGUUAAAAAUUUGAAACUCUGAUCUUCUAUUGGUAUAAAUACAGUUCCAAUGUGGUGUAACUUCGAGUCAUUACAAUCCACGCGUUAUAAAAUUAUAAAUAUAAUAAGAACACUUGUUCUGAAAGGUUGAAAGGCAGGAUACAAAAAUCUAUAACACAAAAUAGAUUAAGUUAGACAUAAGUUUUCAGCAGCAAAUAUUUCAAACGGUAACAACACUCGUCAAAAAAAAAAUGACCGGAAAAAUAAAGAUAGCACACUCUUUUGUUUACGUCCCAAGUCCCAAGUCAUGAGUCUGUAAUUCAGUGGUUGUCGUUGGAUCAUGUCUGUCUCAUAUGUUUUUCAUAAACUACAUUGUUAUAAAUUAUGCCGUUAGUUUUUAUGUUAAUUUUACAUUUUUUUCAUGUCGGGGCCUUCUUUAGCUGACGGUAAAGGCUUUUCUCAUUAUUUGGCUGAUUCCUGCUCCUAACGGGUUUUCAAUAACUCCAUAGUAUCUAUCAAUUUUUGCACAUAAACUAGAGUUUAUAAUAGCUAAUAAUGCAUAAAAAACAUUUAAAUGCAGAAUGCUAUUUUAUGCCAAAUUUACAAUUCGGGUCAGUAAAUUAAUGUAGACUUAUUUACCAACGUAGACUUUUCGUUGUUUAAUUAACUUGUUUUUUAAAGAAGUAAGAAAACCAAGGCAAUCAUCAAGUUCAAGACUUAAUAUAUAUGUAUCCCUCCAAAUCUAAAAGAGUUAAUAAGGACAUUUGUUUUAAAUAUUUAUGUAUUGUUGGGCACAAGAACUAAAACCAAUUAGCAAAUAGUUUUGUUUGUAUUGCUUAAUGAUCAUUUGUUGAUGUUGGCUUUUUUUCCCUUCUGUUUCAUACUAUGAUUCUUUUUUAUCUUAUCAAUAAAAGCAUACAAAUCGUUCAUUCUAGAUAGCGCUAUCAUGCCGUCAAAUCAAUUACGACGUCGAAUGACGUCAAAUAAUAUAUGACGUAAUGAUGACGUUUUAUGAAAAAGAUAGGUAAAAAGAAAACAACAACAAAAAUAAUAACCACAUGAUGAAUAAAAUAUAUAAAAUGUAUUCAAUAAUUGAAGGAAUAGGUGUUUUUUUAGAAAUAUUACGAAAGGGAAAAAAAUAAUCGUUUUUUUUUUACUCAAAGGACAUAUAUGUCCUUCCCGCAGUAAGCCAGGGGAGGACACAUAU
RNAcentral lists this long non-coding RNA (1255 nucleotides) under Mytilus galloprovincialis (Mediterranean mussel). The record is from RNAcentral. Lineage: Eukaryota; Metazoa; Mollusca; Bivalvia; Mytilida; Mytilidae.